This 66-nucleotide transfer RNA is filed under the name Oulema gallaeciana. Its description in RNAcentral is "tRNA-Ser". The record is from RNAcentral. Lineage: Eukaryota; Metazoa; Arthropoda; Insecta; Coleoptera; Chrysomelidae.
AGUCAAUGAACUUGUAUAAGUGUAUACCUUGAAAGUAUAAAAAAGAAAUUAUUUUUCUAUUGACUU